UGGGAACCUUCCUUAUGGUUCGGAAUAGCUCAGGGAAACUUGGGGUAAUACCGGAUAAGCCCUUCGGGGGAAAGAUUUAUCGCCAUUGGAUGGGCCCGCGUCGGAUUAGCUAGUUGGUGAGGUAACGGCUCACCAAGGCAACGAUCCGUAGCUGGUCUGAGAGGAUGAUCAGCCACACUGGGACUGAGACACGGCCCAGACUCCUACGGGAGGCAGU
RNAcentral lists this ribosomal RNA (217 nucleotides) under uncultured bacterium. Its description in RNAcentral is "partial 16S ribosomal RNA". It matches the Rfam family "Bacterial small subunit ribosomal RNA", at positions 118 to 351 of the family's 1533-position model. The record is from RNAcentral.